This 649-nucleotide ribosomal RNA is filed under the name uncultured bacterium. RNAcentral's name for it is "bacterial SSU rRNA". It matches the Rfam family "Bacterial small subunit ribosomal RNA", at positions 224 to 889 of the family's 1533-position model. The record is from RNAcentral.
GAUGGGCCCGCGGCCUAUUAGCUUGUUGGUAGGGUAACGGCCUACCAAGGCGAUGAUGGGUAGCCGACCUGAGAGGGUAUACGGCCACACUGGGAUUGAGAUACGGCCCAGACUCCUACGGGAGGCAGCAGUGGGGAAUUUUGGACAAUGGGGGAAACCCUGAUCCAGCGACGCCGCGUGAGGGAUGAAGGCCUUCGGGUUGUAAACCUCUGUCAGAGAGGACGAAUUAGACGGUACUCUCAGAGGAAGCCACGGCUAACUCCGUGCCAGCAGCCGCGGUAAUACGGAGGUGGCAAGCGUUAUCCGGAUUCAUUGGGCGUAAAGGGCGUGUAGGUGUCCCUAUAAGUCGGAUGUGAAAUCCUUCUGCUCAACAGAAGAAUGGCAUUCGAAACUAUGAGGAUUGAGUACAGGAGAGGAGAGUGGAAUUCCUGGUGUAGCGGUGAAAUGCGUAGAUAUCAGGAGGAACACCGGUGGCGAAGGCGACUCUCUGGCCUGAUACUGACACUGAGACGCAAAAGCUAGGGGAGCAAACAGGAUUAGAUACCCUGGUAGUCCUAGCCGUAAACGAUGCUCACUAGGUGUGGGAGGUAUCGAUUCCUUCUGUGCCGCAGCUAACGCAUUAAGUGAGCCGCCUGGGGAGUACGACCGC